This 159-nucleotide ribosomal RNA is filed under the name Microdipoena guttata. Its description in RNAcentral is "partial 18S ribosomal RNA". It matches the Rfam family "Eukaryotic small subunit ribosomal RNA", at positions 965 to 1123 of the family's 1831-position model. Lineage: Eukaryota; Metazoa; Arthropoda; Arachnida; Araneae; Mysmenidae. RNAcentral also lists the same sequence under 3 other names. The record is from RNAcentral.
UGUUUCCAUUAAUCAAGAACGAAAGUUAGAGGUUCGAAGGCGAUCAGAUACCGCCCUAGUUCUAACCAUAAACGAUGCCAGCCAGCGAUCCGUCUGUGUUCCUCAAAUGACACGACGGGCAGCUUCCGGGAAACCAAAGCUUUUGGGUUCCGGGGGAAG